UACGAAGGGGGCUAGCGUUGCUCGGAAUUACUGGGCGUAAAGGGAGCGUAGGUGGACAGUUUAGUCAGUGGUGAAAGCCCAGGGCUCAACCUUGGAGUUGCCAUUGAUACUGAUUGUCUUGAGUAUGGGAGAGGUGUGCGGAACUCCGAGUGUAGAGGUGAAAUUCGUAGAUAUUCGGAAGAACACCAGUGGCGAAGGCGGCACACUGGCCCAUUACUGACGCUGAGGCUCGAAAGCGUGGGGAGCAAACAGG
RNAcentral lists this ribosomal RNA (253 nucleotides) under uncultured bacterium. RNAcentral's name for it is "partial 16S ribosomal RNA". It matches the Rfam family "Bacterial small subunit ribosomal RNA", at positions 524 to 776 of the family's 1533-position model. The record is from RNAcentral.